UUCCUUUCCUUCCUCUAACCAUUUUGAACCAAAAUGAAGAGAAAAAUGGGAGAAAGAAGAACGAAAGAAGGGGAUGGGAAGAAAACAAGAACGGAGUGGCCGACGGUCAAACCCAAGUCUAAUCUCCCCAUUACUCGCCUCAAAGACACCGAUCUCUUCACGGUGCAAAAUUUCCUUACAUCUGUUGAAUCGAAGGCAUUCAUUAAAGCUGCAGAAUUGAUUGGCUUUGUUCACCAAGGGAGUCUUGGUCCAACAAAAGGUGAAGCAUACAGAGACAAUGAUCGAAUUUCUUUGAAUGAUCCUGUUCUUGCAGAUUCAAUAUGGAAAUCUGGACUCAACGAUUUAUUUUCUGGUUUGAAGAUACGUGGCAAAGUUGCUGUUGGGUUGAAUCCAAAUAUCAGAUUCUACCGGUACAAGGUUGGUCAGCGUUUUGGGCGGCAUGUUGAUGCAAGUACUGAUCUUGGAGAGGGAAAGCGCACCUAUUAUACUUUGUUAAUAUACCUCAGUGGUGGUUUUAAACUCAAAGCUAAAAGUCAUCAGAUAAGCCCUCAGGAUUCUUCUGAAACUCUAGGUGGAGGUGAGACAGUCUUCUAUGAUUCCACAAAUGAUAUUGUUGCUGAGGUGCCGCCAACUGAAGGGAUGGCUCUCCUCCACAUUCAUGGGUACAAUUGCAUGCUGCACGAAGCCCGAAAUGUAACUAAGGGAGUUAAGUAUGUGUUACGAUCAGAUGUAGCUUUUGCUUGAUUAGUUGCAGACUUAAUUGGAGCCAGCAAUCUUGUGAUUAGGAGAAGCAAGCAAGCGUGAGAAAAAAAGAUUGUGGGGCAAAAAAUCAUCCAUUUUCGCACUGGAUAAGUAAGAAAGAAGUUGGUGAUGGGUGAUUCAAGUCCUAUGGAAGUCUGAUGAAGCAAGACUGUUCUAUGAAGGGAGAAUGAGUGUGUAAUGCUUGGAAGUUCGUUCGAGCUUAAUUCGUGCAUUGGUUUAGCUGAUCUCAAACGAGUUUUGAUCAAGGUGAUAACGAGCCAAAGCUUGAGUAAGUUGGUUGUGGAUGGUAUAGAUUGAUGUGGACAACGUUAAAUUGUUCAUAUGAUAACAGAUUAUUUCCUGCCAACAUUUUGUGAACACGAAUCUUUAAUAAUUCAUGUGUAUACAGGGUGACCGUUGGUUUAUA
RNA transcript from Rhododendron vialii, 1168 nucleotides. RefSeq lists it as uncharacterized. The record is from RefSeq and is a predicted model, not a curated record. The transcript has 6 exons. NCBI's taxonomy places the organism in Eukaryota, Viridiplantae, Streptophyta, Magnoliopsida, Ericales, Ericaceae.